UGGCGGCGUGCUAACACAUGCAAGUCGAACGGGACUGAUUGAAAGCUUGCUUUGAAAAGUCUAGUGGCAAACGGUGAGUAACGCGUAGGCAACCUGCCUCUAAGAUGGGGACAACAGCCCGAAAGGGCUGCUAAUACCGAAUGUUGUGAGUUUUCCGCAUGGAGAAUUCAUUAAAGAUGGCCUCUACUUGUAAGCUAUCACUUAGAGAUGGGCCUGCGUCUGAUUAGCUAGUUGGUGGGGUAACGGCUCACCAAGGCGACGAUCAGUAGCCCGGUCUGAGAGGAUGAACGGCCACAUUGGGACUGAGACACGGCCCAGACUCCUACGGGAGGCAGCAGUGGGGAAUCUUCCGCAAUGGGCGAAAGCCUGACGGAGCAACGCCGCCGUGAGUGAAGAAGGUCUUCGGAUCGUAAAGCUCUGUCGAAGGGGACGAACGUGGGUUCUAUCAACAACGGGACCUAAUGACGGUACCUUUCAAGAAAGCCACGGCUAACUACGUGCCAGCCGCCGC
Molecule: ribosomal RNA, 511 nt
Filed under: uncultured bacterium
Lineage: Bacteria
Description: bacterial SSU rRNA
Rfam family: Bacterial small subunit ribosomal RNA
Source: RNAcentral